Molecule: ribosomal RNA, 497 nt
Filed under: uncultured bacterium
Lineage: Bacteria
Description: partial 16S ribosomal RNA
Rfam family: Bacterial small subunit ribosomal RNA
Source: RNAcentral
GAUGAACGCUGGCGGCGUGCUUAAUACAUGCCAGUCGAGCGAACAGACGAGGAGUUUGUUCCUCUGUCGUUAGCGGCGGGGGGGUGAGUAACACGUGUAAACCCUACUUCUCAGACUGGUAAAACUUCGGGAAUCCGGAUCUAAUACCGGAUAAUAUUUCUAACCGCAGGGUUUAAUAGUAAAAGACGGUUUUGCUGUUACUUCUGGAUGCUUCCGCGCUGCAUUAGCUAGUUGGUCAGGUCACGGCUUACCCAGGCAACGAUGCGUAGCCGACCGGCGAGGGUGAUAGGCCGCACGGGAACUGAGACACGGUCAAGACGCCUACGGGAGGCAGCAGUAGGGAACCGGACGCAAUGGGCGAAAGCAUGGCGGAGCAGCGCCGCGUGAGUGAUGAAGGUCUUCGGAUCGGAAAACUGGGUUAUGAGGGAAGAACAACUGUGUAAGUAAAUGUGCCCGUCUUGACGGUACCUAAAGAGAAAGCCACGGCUAACUACGUG